AUUUAGUUGUUGACUCGCGUGCAACGGGCAAGUAGGAAACACAAUACUUGCUCAUUUAAAGCCAUCCACCUACUUUGAAAAUAGAAGUCGAAAUGUUCUGCGCCGUAAAGCACCUGCGAGCGCCACUCGCGACUUUGAAACCGGUGCUUGCCGACUCGGUCGCAACCCAGAAUGUGAUCCGUCGGAUGGUUGGUGUAGCAACAGCUCGUAAGGUAAACGCGAGCGCGAUUAACAGCAUUGCGGAGAAGACGAAAGGCGAGGGUCUGGCAGGGACAACUGCAGUAGUGGCGCGCGCGCACCUUUACCUGCUGUCACGGAAUCCCACGGACGCUAUUGCAGAAAUCGACGCUGUCCUGCCGAAGGUGCAAGAUGAGGCGCUGAAGCGCUUUGCGAUCGGCAUCCGCCUACGCUCGCACAACGAACUGCUGGACAUGAAGGAGGCGGCACUAGGGGUUUCAGGCGGCGCUACAGAGGCGGAGGUGUCGGACCUACGCUCCAAGUUGCAGAGAGAUUACAAGGAGCUGGUUGCAAGCUCUCCCGGGUGCUGGCUCGUGGAGCUGGCUGCCGCGGAGUACAGCCUUUACACCGGCGCGAGCGAGGAGGCUUACAACCACUUUACUUCAAUCGAAAAGAAAAUCCAGGAGUACAUCAAAGCCCCCAUCCACGUGUCGGAGCUGGUAGCUACCACCGACAACACGAACGAGUUCUCCCUGGUUGGUUUUCAGGUGCGACGUGCUCGCCCUGGGGUGAAGCCGGAGGGCGUCAGCGCCGCGGUGGCUGAGGGGAUGGCGAAUGUGAUGGCCGAUCCUGCUGCCGCGAAAGCUCUUCAACAGGCAAAAAAAGCCUUUGGCGGGCAGGUGACGGAUGAGGAGGCGCUAGAACUAGCGGUCACAAUGCAGGAAGCAAACGUGGGCCACCACUUCCACGAUUUUUUCCCCACAACCCCAGACCACUACGAUAAAUGGACGUCCGAGGCUGCACAAUCUGCGCAGCAGCUGAUCCAGGAAGCUUUGACACCUCACAAUGCGGGUCUCAAAGCGGAGGCCAUAGACCGGAUUCGUGCUUCCGUGCCCAGCAAGGCUUUUUACGACUCGGAGGAGAAGCUGCAUGCGCUGCUGAAGUCGGCACCGAAGGAUAAGAGUAUCAUUGCUUCCAUCCGCGAGACGUUUGGGCCCGGCCCAAGUACGCCGAUCAGCUCGUCGGAUCAGGCGGUUGCCGACGCCGUGGAAUCCGUGCACCUGGCGGUUGUCUCGUCGGACACGGCUGGAGCGACGGACUAUGCAAAGCGCGGGAAGGAGAUUGCUAAGGCUCUAGCGAAGCAGUUGCUCUACCGCACACAGGUUCAGAAGAGUGUUGCACUGGCAGAGAUGAACCGCCUGCAGGAGGCCGUGGAAGCUGUCACUCCAGUGAUCAAUGCGAACGAGUACAUUUACAUGUGGCGCGCACUCUUAGCUCGCAGCCGUGCCUACAAGGGUCUCGGGCUCAUCACCAACGCCGACAAGGACCUGAAGGAGCUAAACCGCCUCAAGCAGAGCCUCACGGAGCGCACUCCAUAUGAGAAGAAGUAGACGAAGGCAUGCGAGUGUGAGUGCCGAGCACGUGCUACUGCACGCACGAUUUAGUACCGUUAGCGUGUUUUCGUUUCCCUAAAAAAGCCAAACGAACAUAUCUCUUGUCUUCACUUUGGUGUGCUCGACGUCCCGUUCGUGUGUUUUUUUGUCUCUUAUUUUCGCGUAGGAAUACCACGUUCCUGAAGAGAAGGAAGAAGGGCGGGGGUCACCUAAGUGUGGUGUCUAGGGUCCGUUACACCCCGCGUUGUGUGUGAGGAAGGCAAGCACCCCCUGUCCCCUGCCAAUGCCGAACAACCUCUGGUGGUGGCAGGGCCAAGCAGCUGUGACGUAGGGGUGGACAGGGCGAUGUGUCGCUGCUGAUGUCGGCGGUCAGGUCGUGGAUGGCGUUGCGCCGGAGCGGCCUGCGGCAGUGAACGCACUUGCGCCAUCCAUCUGGUGGGCAUGGUGUCGCCGCAGCUCGAGCGCAUCCCCGCCCCGCGCCUCACACUGCCUGCUGGCGGGGGGAGCCUGAGCUACCCCGAGGGACGCACGAGGUGGGGACCGGCGCAAUGUGAGCCGCUGUGAGGCGGCCUCCGCUUCGCAGGCCGGUAGUGUUUUGAGGCAGAGGCCAUGCUCGGAUGACGGAGUCGGCGCAUUGCUGUAGAGCGUGUGCACGACUGCUUUGCGCCACGCGAUGGGGGCCUGCGACAUGCCGGGUGGAGUGUUGUCGAGCUCACGUUGCGUGGCGGAGAACGGACGCACUGAAAAAAAGGCAUACCGCGUGUCAGGGAAGCGGUGCUGAUAUACGUUUUCUUACCAGUAGCAUAUCUUCUUUCUUCUAGAGCGAGGAAAUCGCAUCGUCACCUUCACAGAGUCUUUUUGGCUCGGCUGACAUCAUGAAUGCACUUUUCCUUUUCUUAACGUGCGUUGCCAACCCUCAGUGAGGAGCUGGUGUCGGGACCUCUGCCUCCACGAAG
RNAcentral lists this unclassified non-coding RNA (2527 nucleotides) under Leishmania donovani. RNAcentral's name for it is "gene:LdHU3.29.1290(CDS-product:hypothetical_prote in_conserved)". The record is from RNAcentral. Lineage: Eukaryota; Euglenozoa; Kinetoplastea; Trypanosomatida; Trypanosomatidae.